RNAcentral lists this ribosomal RNA (482 nucleotides) under uncultured Saprospiraceae bacterium. RNAcentral's name for it is "bacterial SSU rRNA". It matches the Rfam family "Bacterial small subunit ribosomal RNA", at positions 28 to 505 of the family's 1533-position model. Lineage: Bacteria; Pseudomonadati; Bacteroidota; Saprospiria; Saprospirales; Saprospiraceae. The record is from RNAcentral.
GAUGAACGCUAGCGGGAGGCUUAAUACAUGCAAGUCGAACGGUAACAGCAGAGCUUGCUCUGGCUGACGAGUGGCGAACGGGUGAGUAACGCGUACAUAACCUACCUUUUACUAGGGAAUAGCCUCGGGAAACUGAGAAUAAUACCCUAUAGUAUCUACAUUUUUCAUGAUAAGUAGAUUAAAGUUUCGGCGGUAAAAGAUGGAUGUGCGUCUGAUUAGCUAGUUGGUAAGGUAACGGCUUACCAAGGCAACGAUCAGUAGGGGGCGUGAGAGCGUGAUCCCCCACACGGGUACUGAGACACGGACCCGACUCCUACGGGAGGCAGCAGUAAGGAAUAUUGGACAAUGGGCGCAAGCCUGAUCCAGCCAUCCCGCGUGCAGGAUGACGGCCCUCUGGGUUGUAAACUGCUUUUGUGUAGGAAGAACCGCUUCCAUUUAUGGAAGUUUGACGGUACUACAAGAAUAAGCAUCGGCUAACUCCG